GAUGAACGCUGGCGGCGUGCCUAAUACAUGCAAGUCGAGCGAACAGACGAGGAGCUUGCUCCUCUGACGUUAGCGGCGGACGGGUGAGUAACACGUGGAUAACCUACCUAUAAGACUGGGAUAACUUCGGGAAACCGGAGCUAAUACCGGAUAAUAUAUUGAACCGCAUGGUUCAAUAGUGAAAGACGGUUUUGCUGUCACUUAUAGAUGGAUCCGAGCCGCAUUAGCUAGUUGGUAAGGUAACGGCUUAUCAAGGCAACGAUGCGUAGCCGACCUGAGAGGGUGAUCGGCCACACUGGAACUGAGCCACGGUCAAGACUCCUACGGGAGGCAGCAGUAGGGAAUCUUCCGCAAUGGGCGAAAGCUUGACGGAGCAACGCCGCGUGAGUGAUGAAGGUCUUCGGAUCGUAAAACUCUGUUAUUAGGGAAGAACAAAUGUGUAAGUAACUAUGCACGUCUUGACGGUACCUAAUCAGAAAGCCACGGCUAACUACGUG
Molecule: ribosomal RNA, 497 nt
Filed under: uncultured bacterium
Lineage: Bacteria
Description: partial 16S ribosomal RNA
Rfam family: Bacterial small subunit ribosomal RNA
Source: RNAcentral